AAAUGUAGAGGUUGCAGGACUUAUCAGUAACAUAUUGGAUGUGCCAGACACAGAUGAAGAUAUGAGAAAGGAAGUUUUGCCGAAAGGAUAUUUUGACUGGCAAGAUAUCGCUUGGGUAUAUGGUUAAGAACCAUAUAACUGUCAUCUAUAAAAGAUGGUGAGCUACGGA
This 169-nucleotide non-coding RNA is filed under the name bovine gut metagenome. RNAcentral describes it as "Lysine riboswitch". It matches the Rfam family "Lysine riboswitch aptamer". From Rfam's summary of the family: Riboswitches are metabolite binding domains within certain messenger RNAs that serve as precision sensors for their corresponding targets. The record is from RNAcentral.